Gaeumannomyces graminis is the source of this 72-nucleotide transfer RNA. It matches the Rfam family "tRNA". Rfam says of the family: Transfer RNA (tRNA) molecules are approximately 80 nucleotides in length. Their secondary structure includes four short double-helical elements and three loops (D, anti-codon, and T loops). NCBI's taxonomy places the organism in Eukaryota, Fungi, Ascomycota, Sordariomycetes, Magnaporthales, Magnaporthaceae. The record is from Rfam.
GGUUGUAUAGCGCAGUGGUAGCGCAUUUGCUUUUGUAGCGGAAAGUUUUGGGUUUAACUUUUGGUACAACCG